GUGCCAGCAGCCGCGGUAAUACAGGGGGGGCGAGCGUUGUUCGGAAUUACUGGGCGUAAAGGGUUCGUAGGUGGCUAGCUAAGUCAGACGUGAAAUCCCUCAGCUUAACUGGGGAACUGCGUCUGAUACUGGUCGGCUUGAGUGCAGGAGAGGAACGCGGAAUUCCAGGUGUAGCGGUGAAAUGCGUAGAUAUCUGGAGGAACACCGGUGGCGAAGGCGGCGUUCUGGACUGCAACUGACACUGAGGAACGAAAGCCAGGGGAGCAAACGGGAUUAGAUACCCUCGUAGUCC
RNAcentral lists this ribosomal RNA (292 nucleotides) under uncultured bacterium. RNAcentral describes it as "partial 16S ribosomal RNA". It matches the Rfam family "Bacterial small subunit ribosomal RNA", at positions 505 to 796 of the family's 1533-position model. The record is from RNAcentral.